AUCUAUACGUCGACAAUUUGGACCGUUGAUAGCAAAGCUUUGGCUCGUAUUUCAAAUAUUUAGUCCAGGAAUGUUCAUAUCAAGUACAGCAUUGCUUCCAAGCUCUUUUUCCAUGUUCUUAACAAUUGCCUUUGUUUCUACAUGGUGGCAAAACAGUACAAAAUGGCAAUCUUGAGCAUAGUUAUUUCGACGUUUGUUGGUUGGCCGUUUGCAGCGCUCGUCAGUUUACCAUUUCUUUACAACGUGUUAGUUCAGAAACGGUUAUUCCGAAUGGUUUG
Long non-coding RNA from Aedes aegypti (yellow fever mosquito), 278 nucleotides. RefSeq lists it as uncharacterized. Lineage: Eukaryota; Metazoa; Arthropoda; Insecta; Diptera; Culicidae. The record is from RefSeq and is a predicted model, not a curated record. The transcript has 3 exons.